GAUUUCUGCCCUGUGCUCCGAAUGUCAAAGUGAAGAAAUUCAAUGAAGCCCGGGUAAACGGCAGGAGUAACUAUGACUCUCUUAAGGUAGCCAAAUGCCUCGUCAUCUAAUUAGUGACGCGCAUGAAUGGAU
This 132-nucleotide non-coding RNA is filed under the name Mus musculus (house mouse). RNAcentral describes it as "Eukaryotic large subunit ribosomal RNA". It matches the Rfam family "Eukaryotic large subunit ribosomal RNA", at positions 2193 to 2324 of the family's 3401-position model. Lineage: Eukaryota; Metazoa; Chordata; Mammalia; Rodentia; Muridae. The record is from Rfam by way of RNAcentral.